AUACGAAAGGUGCAAGCGUUGUUCGGAUUUACUGGGCGUAAAGAGAGUGUAGGUGGUUUAUUAAGUCGGAUGUGAAAUCCCGGGGCUCAACCUCGGAACUGCAUUCGAUACUGAUAGGCUAGAGUUCGGGAGGGGUAAGCGGAAUUCCGUGUGUAGCAGUGAAAUGCGUAGAUAUACGGAGGAACACCUGAGGCGAAGGCGGCUUACUGGACCGAUACUGACACUGAGACUCGAAAGCGUGGGUAGCAAACAGGAUUAGAUACCCCAGUAGUCC
Molecule: ribosomal RNA, 274 nt
Filed under: uncultured bacterium
Lineage: Bacteria
Description: partial 16S ribosomal RNA
Rfam family: Bacterial small subunit ribosomal RNA
Source: RNAcentral